RNAcentral lists this ribosomal RNA (253 nucleotides) under uncultured bacterium. Its description in RNAcentral is "partial 16S ribosomal RNA". It matches the Rfam family "Bacterial small subunit ribosomal RNA", at positions 524 to 776 of the family's 1533-position model. The record is from RNAcentral.
UACGGAGGGAGCUAGCGUUGUUCGGAAUUACUGGGCGUAAAGCGCACGUAGGCGGCGAUUCAAGUCAGAGGUGAAAGCCCGGGGCUCAACCCCGGAACUGCCUUUGAAACUAGAUUGCUAGAAUCCUGGAGAGGUUAGUGGAAUUCCGAGUGUAGAGGUGAAAUUCGUAGAUAUUCGGAAGAACACCAGUGGCGAAGGCGACUAACUGGACAGGUAUUGACGCGGAGGUGCGAAAGCGUGGGGAGCAAACAGG